UGUUGCUUCAGGGUAGUUCCUUAGAAAGCGAAGGUGGUCCAGAGGUUCAUGUGGGGUGUGAAAUGAGUGGCUUUAGUACUGAGGACAAGCACAUUCAACUCUUCUAAAAUGUUUUCAUUUGUUUCUCAGUGUGUUUAAAUUUGGCGGGGGGGGGGGUGUGCUGGAAUUUCACCAGUUGGCACAAAUAGUACCUUUUGCAAUGAUCUGCCUGUUGGACAGUGUCAAUGGAUACCAGAGGAUUGCCCCGCUGGAAAGUCAUCAGGUAGAUUGACAUAAAAGAAAAAUCAAAUUAGAGCUCCAAGUUAAGAGGCAAGUCACAAGUCAUUGCUUAGGGGGAAACUGUGGAAAGGGUAAGAUCUGGAUAAAAAUCCUUGUGGAUUUUUAUGUGACUGCAUUGUUUAUGCACUGUGUAUAAUGAAAAGGAAUUUUUUUUUCUUUUUGUAUCAAGAUAUAUAAAUAUAUAGUUCCUUUUAUUAUAGAAGCUAUUUACUCUUAAAAAAAAAAGGAAGAAAUACCCUUACAGAGUGAGCAUCAUUUUACUAAAAGGUUCCUGCAGCUAAGCAGAUUUAGCUCUGCUUUUAAAUAAAUACAGGGAAAUGUUUAACCCCUAUUGUAUGGCUACAAAGCCUGUGCUGAUCACAGAGAAGCUUGGGAGGGUGGGGGACAAAGCGACGGACUGCUCUUGUACGUGCUUCUGCACACAGUUCAGCAACAGCAGGGCUUAACAGCAGAGUUUUGUCAAGAUUACAACAUGAAGAGGAGCAUGGUGCAAAUUCUUACCUCUCACUAACAAAAAGAAAGGGAUAAAAAAAAAGCAAUCCAUCAAAAAGGGAAGAGGACUAUAUAGCUAUAUGUGCAAGGCAAGGCAGUGACAUAAAGACCUGUCAUACAGGGAAUAAGAAAGAAGAUAGAGAGCAUCUUGCUCAGAAGUUAUUUGUACAAAGUUUCAGUUUGUCUGGACAAGUUUCUACAAUCCUCUAUGUGAUAUGGAGGCUUUUAGGCCACGCAGGUUUUGAAGGUAUUGAAGCUCCUUCACAUCUAGAACAGCAGACUGCAGAAAGGUAGCAUGCUUCU
Long non-coding RNA from Pezoporus flaviventris, 1074 nucleotides. RefSeq lists it as uncharacterized. NCBI's taxonomy places the organism in Eukaryota, Metazoa, Chordata, Aves, Psittaciformes, Psittacidae. The record is from RefSeq and is a predicted model, not a curated record. The transcript is spliced from 3 exons.